RNAcentral lists this long non-coding RNA (766 nucleotides) under Serinus canaria (Common canary). RNAcentral's name for it is "lncRNA (ENSSCAG00000012720.1)". The record is from RNAcentral. Lineage: Eukaryota; Metazoa; Chordata; Aves; Passeriformes; Fringillidae.
AAGCCAGCAGCAAGGACAAGCUUUGGAGGGAGCUGGGAGUGCUGAGCUCUGCCUGGUCCAGCCUUGCCUGGACCUCCUGGAGCUGCCUGACACCUCCCAUCCACAGUAGGCAUCCCCCAAAGCCCCUUUUCUGUCCUUCCAGCAGGUUCCUGACCAUAGCACGUUCCCAGACUGAGUCCCCAGUGCUCUCCUGGACCCAGGCCUGGUUCCCAUGGAUGUCUGCAGUCUCCAGAGCUGCCCUGACUUGCUUGCAAAAGGUCUUUGUGCUCCUGCCUGUGCUGGAGGCAAUGCCUGGUGUGGGUACCAGUGGGACAGGUCACGUUUCCGGUGUCAUGUGCUGUCCAUGACGGAUGGCAGAGCCAGUUUUUCUGCUCCAAAAGUGGGACUGGGGAGGAGACCGCAACACUCAAAUAGCCGGAGCCCCGGCUGCUGCCAGCCAGGCAUCCAGGAGGUCACUUCUUUUUCAGCUCCAGGGUUUGGGAGGGAAGAUAAGGAGAAGGAGGAGGACAAGAAAGAGAAGGAAGAAAAGGAGAAGGAAAAGACUGAGGAAGAAAAACAGAAGGAGAAGGAGAAGCAGAAGAGAAGGAAGAAAGAAGAAGAAAAGGACCAAGGCAUUGCCAAGGAUGAUGAGAAGGAAGACAAGGAUUAGUCUUGCUGUGCUGGAGCAGCAGUGCACGCCCUGGGCAUGCUGAGGAGGUGGAAAUGGCAGCUUGGGCUGGAGAGCAACUGGGCCACUGUUAGCCAAAUAAAGAUGUUGUGAUCUUCA